AUCUCAGGUUCCUUCUCUUAUAAUUUGGGAGAGCAAUUGAACUGGAUAAUCUCAAAGAUCUGACCUUCCUAAAUGUGAGAAAUAAGAGAAAACCCUUUAGCUGUUUCUCAAAAUUAUACUACUGAAACCUCAAAGGAAUUUCUACAACCAAAGGGAAAAAAGGGGCUGAAGCACCUAUUCCAGGGAUUAGCAACAAGACCUCACUUGGUAAGUACUUACUAUACAGCUCACCUCUCUACUUCAGAGCCAACAUGUCUACACAGGAG
RNAcentral lists this long non-coding RNA (266 nucleotides) under Monodelphis domestica (gray short-tailed opossum). RNAcentral's name for it is "lncRNA (ENSMODG00000041455.1)". The record is from RNAcentral. Lineage: Eukaryota; Metazoa; Chordata; Mammalia; Didelphimorphia; Didelphidae.